This is a long non-coding RNA of Triticum dicoccoides, 185 nucleotides long. RefSeq lists it as uncharacterized. The transcript is spliced from 3 exons. The record is from RefSeq and is a predicted model, not a curated record. NCBI's taxonomy places the organism in Eukaryota, Viridiplantae, Streptophyta, Magnoliopsida, Poales, Poaceae.
AAAAGGUUUUGGGGCAAGUGCUUAUAAGGUGGAUUGGAAACCAGAAGAUGCAUCUUCUAAACAAAAAGGUUUUGGGGCAAGUGCUUAUAAGGUGGAUUGGAAUCCAGAAGGUGCACCUUCCAGAGAAGAAGGUUUUGGGGCAAGUGCUUAUAAGGUGGAUUGGAAACCAGAAGAUGCACAUUCUA